UAAUACGUAGGGUGCGAGCGUUGUUCGGAAUUACUGGGCGUAAAGGGCGCGUAGGCGGGUCUAUAAGUCGAUUGUGAAAGCCCCGGGCUUAACCUGGGAACAGCAGUCGAAACUGUAGAUCUUGGAUACCUGAGAGGAUGGCGGAAUUCCCGGUGUAGAAGUGAAAUUCGUAGAUAUCGGGAAGAACACCUGAGGCGAAGGCGGCUGUCUGGCGGUGUAUCGACGCUGAGGCGCGAAAGCGUGGGGAGCAAACAGGAUUAGAUACCCUGGUAGUCCACGCCGUAAACUAUGGAUACUAGGUGUCCGGAGUGUUAACCCUCUGGGUACCGCAGCUCACGCAUUAAGUAUCCCGCCUGGGGAGUACGGUCGCAAGACUA
This 377-nucleotide ribosomal RNA is filed under the name uncultured bacterium. RNAcentral's name for it is "bacterial SSU rRNA". It matches the Rfam family "Bacterial small subunit ribosomal RNA", at positions 521 to 896 of the family's 1533-position model. The record is from RNAcentral.